Molecule: long non-coding RNA, 325 nt
Organism: Gossypium arboreum
Lineage: Eukaryota; Viridiplantae; Streptophyta; Magnoliopsida; Malvales; Malvaceae
Exons: 2
Source: RefSeq, a predicted model, not a curated record
AGGUAUAAUCAUGAGCUAGUUCAAAUCAGUUUUGGUUUCCAGUUUACAAUCCACAUGCAAAUUCCUGGUUAAGACGUAAAGAGCUAGAUGUUAUAUGGUUGCUGCAGUCCUCCAAUGAAGAAGGCCUGGAAUGGUAUGUCGUUGCUUCGCAUAUGUGUAAUGCGAGGAUUUGUUGAAUGGAUCUGCUUUAGUCUUGUGGCUGGUUCUUAUCAGUCAAGUGUUGAUGGCUAGACUGGGUUUGAUAUUCAAAUGCACACGAAAGAACAUCAAGCGAGUCAUACGUCCCUGCAAGUUGAUGUUAGAAUAUGAAAAUUAGUAAAGAAAU